RNAcentral lists this ribosomal RNA (746 nucleotides) under uncultured bacterium. Its description in RNAcentral is "bacterial SSU rRNA". It matches the Rfam family "Bacterial small subunit ribosomal RNA", at positions 9 to 747 of the family's 1533-position model. The record is from RNAcentral.
GAGUUUGAUCCUGGCUCAGAACGAACGCUGGCGGCGCGCCUAAUACAUGCAAGUCGAACGAGAAUGUGUAGCAAUACACAUGUACAGUGGCGAACGGGUGAGGAAUACAUGGGUAACCUACCCUCGAGUGGGGAAUAACCAGCCGAAAGGUUGGCUAAUACCGCGUACGCUUCCGAGACUGCGGUUUUGGAAGGAAAGCGAUACCGUGGGUAUCGCGCUCUUGGAUGGGCUCAUGCCCUAUCAGCUUGUUGGUGAGGUAACGGCUCACCAAGGCAUCGACGGGUAGCUGAUCUGAGAGGAUGAUCAGCCACACUGGCACUGCGACACGGGCCAGACUCCUACGGGAGGCAGCAGUAAGGAAUAUUGCGCAAUGGGCGAAAGCCUGACGCAGCGACGCCGCGUGGGGGAUGAAGGUCUUCGGAUUGUAAACCCCUUUCGGGAGGGAAGAUGGGAUGGGGUAACCCAUUCGGACGGUACCUCCAGAAGCAGCCACGGCUAACUUCGUGCCAGCAGCCGCGGUAAUACGAAGGUGGCAAGCGUUGUUCGGAUUUACUGGGCGUACAGGGAGCGUAGGCGGUUGGAUAAGCCCUCCGUGAAAUCUCCAGGCUUAACCUGGAAAGUGCAGAGGGGACUGUUCAGCUAGAGGAUGGGAGAGGAGCGCGGAAUUCCCGGUGUAGCGGUGAAAUGCGUAGAGAUCGGGAGGAAGGCCGGUGGCGAAGGCGGCGCUCUGGAACAUUUCUGACGCU